ACCUCCAUCGAGUUGUCUGCUUCCAACAGCGUGCAAACUCAUCAGGUGCCGCAUAUGUCCCAAGUUCGUGGUUUGGCGUAGAGAACAGCAGAAGUUGUCGUCACUGCUGGGACCUUCCCAGGAUUCCCAGUGCCAAGUGAUUUCAGUUAGGAGUCAUCCUGCAUGAUUCCUGUGAUUUGUCCUGGAGGGAGUGAACAGAGACGAGUCAACUCCACACUUUGCUAGCAGUUACCUGGAGGUCCUAGCAAACAAGGUGCAUGUGGAAAAAGAGAGAGAGGAGGAGAGGAUCCUGGGAAAAGAGCUACUAUCUUGGGAAAAGACCAAGAGUUUCUCGACAUCUGCCUGAGGGAAGAACAAAGAUAAUACUUCAAACCACUGCCACCCCUACAUCUCCCCCACCAGCUCCUCCAUUCUACAGGACAAAUUUGGGAUCAUUGAAGCAUUCUCCUUUGUCAUGGUCAUAUGCUUUCUUUGUCUGCUUAACUGACAUGUAUGUAAACUAUUGGUUUUUAACAAACUCAAUAAUCUAUCAGUAAAAUUGCUGCAAUUUGCAUGCCUAUAAUAGAUAACUGAAAUCAUGAAUCCCCCAGGAUCAUGUCCUGAUCUUUAUGUACUGCUGUUAUACAAGUAAGUUUAGCAGUCAUUCUAAGCUGGCAACAAUCAUACAAAAAAGAAAUAACACCAACAAUUAAUCGAUCUGUAAGUAUUGGUUCAGAGAUGAAAGUUGGCUAACACGCUGAGAGAAAUCAGUAUUCUUUUUAGGGGAGGGAGACAUGAAAUUGUUAACAUUCCCUGUUACCUGUUUAACAUUUCAUAUCAAAAACUUAAUCUCAAACUAGUUUUAUAGGAUUUAUUCAUGCCGAAUUCUUCAUAAAGCUUUGAAAAUCCUAUGCAAGUCUCUAGAAAACAUAAUACUUUCUAGAAUGAAACCAAAGUAUGUGGUUUUCUUUCAUUAAAAUAUAUAAGGAGAUGCUGCUCUUAUUAAUACUCAAUAACUGCCUGAAAAUGUUCUUUAAUAAACAUCUACCGGGUAGAUAUGUAGGGUUCAUGAUGUGAGACUCCUGUUUAUUUAGCAGGGUGAGAGUUAAUUGCAAUGGAUAAACCUGAUAUGCAGAAAUAAAUACAACAGCAAAAUGUUUGCAGUGUAAUUACAUCAAACAGAAGUACUGACCAAUGUAUAAAAACAGAAAGUCUGACUUUUGAUGUGAUCAAAAAUACUAUGAAAUUUGAGUUCCUAUCCUAGUCACUUGUAAUUUUUAAAGUUUUACUUGUGAAAGAAACCCUAUAUAUAAUAAUUAAAGAGAUUGGAGACAACAUGAAAUAUAGGAAAGUUUAAAGCAGUUUUUGAAUAACAACUUCUAAAUUUAAAAACUCCAGUUCUUUUUUUCUCUACCCAAUUUUUCUUAUCCUACUGAAGACUGAUUUAAGCUUUUGUAUAGGUUUGCAGAUUCCAUCAACUAUCCAAGAAAGCUGGUACUCCAUGUGAUAGUAAAGAUAGAAUGUCCUAAAUUAAUCUAGUUCCAUUUGCAAAUACUAGGCCCAUAUCCCUCUAAACCCUUCCUAUUCAUGUACCC
Non-coding RNA from Chiloscyllium plagiosum (whitespotted bambooshark), 1574 nucleotides. NCBI's taxonomy places the organism in Eukaryota, Metazoa, Chordata, Chondrichthyes, Orectolobiformes, Hemiscylliidae. The record is from RefSeq and is a predicted model, not a curated record.